This 253-nucleotide ribosomal RNA is filed under the name uncultured bacterium. Its description in RNAcentral is "partial 16S ribosomal RNA". It matches the Rfam family "Bacterial small subunit ribosomal RNA", at positions 524 to 776 of the family's 1533-position model. The record is from RNAcentral.
UACGUAGGGGGCUAGCGUUGUCCGGAUUUAUUGGGCGUAAAGAGCGUGUAGGCGGCCAGGUAGGUCUGGUGUGAAAACUCGAGGCUUAACCUCGAGAUGUCAUCGGAAACCAUCUGGCUAGAGUCCGGAAGAGGAGAGUGGAAUUCCUGGUGUAGCGGUGAAAUGCGCAGAUAUCAGGAAGAACACCAAUGGCGAAAGCAGUCCCCUGGGCCUGUACUGACGCUCAUGCACGAAAGCGUGGGGAGCAAACAGG